UCCUCGUUUAAGCGAGGCAGUCCGUCCAGAGUGCUCCACACUCUCGUGUGGGUGGCAACAGGACGCAAGGGUUGCGCUCGUUGCGGGACUUAACCCAACAUCUCACGACACGAGCUGACGACAGCCAUGCAGCACCUGUGUAGGCUGGUAUUGCUACCUCGUUAGGCUUUCACCCUUCUACUACCUACAUGUCAAGGCCAGGUAAGGUUCUUCGCGUUGCAUCGAAUUAAGCCACAUACUCCACCGCUUGUGCAGGCCCCCGUCAAUUUCUUUGAGUUUUAAUCUUGCGACCGUACUCCCCAGGCGGCACGUUUAACGCGUUAGCUUCGCCACAAAAGGGGUCGAUUCCUCUUACAGCAAACGUGCACCGUUUACGGCUAGGACUAC
RNAcentral lists this unclassified non-coding RNA (387 nucleotides) under uncultured Verrucomicrobiae bacterium. RNAcentral's name for it is "contains 16S-23S intergenic spacer region". The record is from RNAcentral. Lineage: Bacteria; Pseudomonadati; Verrucomicrobiota; Verrucomicrobiia.